UCUUCACAGAAGGCGUUGCCAAGCACUGGAACAAGCUGCCCAGGGAAGUGGUGGAGUCACCACGCCUGGAGGUGUUUAACAGAUGAGUAGAUGUGGCACUGAGGGUCAUGGUUUAGUGGUGGAUUUGGCAGUGAGUUUACAGGUGGGCUCAGUGAUCUGAAAGGUCUUUUUCAACGUACAUGAUUCUAAAUUACUCUAAACACAAAAACAUAUUAAGGACAUUUCAUGGACUUAAAUGUUUUCCUCUCUGUGUAUGCAUCCCGUUUAUGAAGGUUUCACCUUUUCUUUGCCCAUAUCACAACCCGGAUUUUGUUGUCUUUACACUGGGACAAUGCAGACCCUGAACUGCUUCUACUUCUGCCAUGGGUAAAUUGCCAAAGCAGAGGGAUGGCACAAAUACCUUGUUGUGGGACUUGCUGUUUUAGUAAAACUACACAUAGACAUACUGAGAAAGAAAAAAUUCUUAUUGUUUGUUUGUUUUUUCUUAAAGUAACCUGGAAUCGAGACAAUGCUUUUCAAAAUUUUGCCGUGAAGUCUCACCUGACCUUCCUGGUUGUAGGCUGCCAGAUGCACUCCGUGUGGUUAAGAAAUUGGUGCUGUCCAAGGGGAGGACAACAAACUUGACUCAAGGGCCUGUACCAGAAGCCAGCCAGUUUUGACCUCUGAGAAUCAGCCCAUGCAACCUCAGCUACCACUAGUAAGAAAUUAUUCAGACAAGUCACUCCUCUAACCACUCACCCAGUGAGUGGGUUGCAUCCAAGUUGCUGCCAUGG
Molecule: long non-coding RNA, 773 nt
Organism: Manacus vitellinus (golden-collared manakin)
Lineage: Eukaryota; Metazoa; Chordata; Aves; Passeriformes; Pipridae
Exons: 3
Source: RefSeq, a predicted model, not a curated record